GUGAGUCCUCAGACUGUGGAGGCCUCUGAAGUAUAGAUAAGCAAAGCACCUGGACCUGCUCUGAAGGGUCUCACCUGGAUCUGAGGUCUGAUGGCACAAAGCCUGUACUGCUUUUGAGACAAUGUUGACACAGUGAAUGCGCAGCAGAUGUGAACCUUUCUUGUAAAAGGGAUUUGAAAAUCCACAGCAUAAUCUGUGGUCAUUCAGCCAGGCUGAGUUGGAGCCUUCUCCCUCUCUGGGUCAGAGAAAUGUAAAUGAGGUGAGAUGAAUCAUCAAAUCAGAGAGAUGAGGCAAAUUCCCCCAGGCCAUGUGGCUGAUGAAGACGAUGAUGAUACAGCUGACAUUUAAGCACCUGCUUGUGCCAGGCAUGGCUCUAAAGACUUCACAUACAUUAACUCCUUUAAUCUUAAUAGCCACUCCUGAGUCAGUACUAUUUUUAUCCCCAUUUUACAGAUGAGAACUCCAAAAGGCAGAAAGAUUAAGCAACUUGACCAAAGAUGUAUGCUAAUAAGUGACAGAUUUAGGACUUGAAUCAAGAUGGUUGUGACCAGAGUUCGGCAAGCUUUUUCUAUAAAGGACCACGUACUAAAUAUCCUAUCUGUGCAGUUUCUGUCACAGAUACUCAGCUCUGCCAUUGUAGUACAGAAGGAUCCACAGACUGUGUAAACAAAUGAGCAUGGUUGUAU
Molecule: non-coding RNA, 686 nt
Organism: Callorhinus ursinus (northern fur seal)
Lineage: Eukaryota; Metazoa; Chordata; Mammalia; Carnivora; Otariidae
Source: RefSeq, a predicted model, not a curated record